AGUGAACGCUGGCGGUAGGCCUAACACAUGCAAGUCGAACGGCAGCACAGGAGAGCUUGCUCUCUGGGUGGCGAGUGGCAGACGGGUGAGGAAUACAUCGGAAUCUACUCUGUCGUGGGGGAUAACGUAGGGAAACUUACGCUAAUACCGCAUACGACCUACGGGUGAAAGCAGGGGACCUUCGGGCCUUGCGCGAUUGAAUGAGCCGAUGUCGGAUUAGCUAGUUGGCGGGGUAAAGGCCCACCAAGGCGACGAUCCGUAGCUGGUCUGAGAGGAUGAUCAGCCACAGUGGAACUGUGACACGGUCCAGACUCCUACGGGAGGCAGCAGUGGGCAAUAUUGGACAAUGGGCGCAAGCCUGAUCCAGCCAUACCGCGUGGGUGAAGAGGGCCUUCGGGUUGUAAAGCCCUUUUGUUGGGAAAGAAAUCCAGCUGGCUAAUACCCGGUUGGGAUGACGGUACCCAAAGAAUAAGCACCGGCUAACUUCGUGCCAGCAGCCGCCGUAA
RNAcentral lists this ribosomal RNA (506 nucleotides) under uncultured bacterium. RNAcentral describes it as "partial 16S ribosomal RNA". It matches the Rfam family "Bacterial small subunit ribosomal RNA", at positions 29 to 523 of the family's 1533-position model. The record is from RNAcentral.